RNAcentral lists this long non-coding RNA (251 nucleotides) under Helianthus annuus (common sunflower). Its description in RNAcentral is "hypothetical non coding rna". Lineage: Eukaryota; Viridiplantae; Streptophyta; Magnoliopsida; Asterales; Asteraceae. The record is from RNAcentral.
GGCAUAGAGAACAUGCAAUUAUAGGCACACACAUUCUCUAAGAACUGGACAUUUGUAAUCAGAUCCUUUAUAUGAAAUAACAGGUUAUUAACCGAAACCGUAAAGUGGUUAUUUUUAACCGUAGUGCUGGAGUGGUCAUGGAUCGAGCAACAGGGAAUCAGGAUUACAAAACUAACCUUAGAUGUUCAGGUUGUCACAUAAGUAUUUAGUAUAAGAACCGAUUAUUAACCGGUUUUUUAACUGAUAUACCG